RNAcentral lists this unclassified non-coding RNA (192 nucleotides) under uncultured fungus. RNAcentral describes it as "sequence contains ITS1". The record is from RNAcentral. Lineage: Eukaryota; Fungi.
UUAACUAUUAUAUAGUACUCAGACGACACUAAUAAACAAGAGUUUGUGGUCCUCUGGCGAGCACGCACCGACCGAAGUCGGUGGCCGAAGCGGCUCGCCAAAGCAACAAAGGUAUAAUAACAUAGGGUUGGAGAGUCACCCGUGAGGGCGAUGUUCUCUGUAAUGAUCCCUCCGCAGGUUCACCUACGGAGA